Long non-coding RNA from Globicephala melas (long-finned pilot whale), 360 nucleotides. RefSeq lists it as uncharacterized. Lineage: Eukaryota; Metazoa; Chordata; Mammalia; Artiodactyla; Delphinidae. The record is from RefSeq and is a predicted model, not a curated record.
CCUGGGGACAGCUGAAGUGCUGCCUUCAUGACUUCAGAAUUUCUAUCCCAACUGAGCGGCAAAUGGAAUCAUGUUACUGGCCAUAAAGAGGUUACUUUCAUUGAGCAUCUUCUACAUGGCAGGCAGAAGUACGGAUGUGAAGUGGUGGAGAUGAAUUGAGUCAUGUGCUACACACACUUGAUCUUCUUGACUUCUCUCAACAGCUCUAAGAGAAAUCCCCAAAGUUCAACUGAUAGUGAUUAUGAAGGCCACUUCUAUCAAAACACACAGUUGAAUGAUAUGAGGAUGGCAACUUGUAUGUGUUUAUUUUCGUCAAACUCAAUCUGCAAUAUCCUUAUCAGCUCUCCCAACAUUCCUAGG